CCUACGGGUGGCAGCAGUAGGGAAUCUUUCACAAUGGGCGAAAGCCUGAUGGAGCAACGCCGCGUGCAGGAUGAAGGCCUUCGGGUUGUAAACUGCUUUUUUAAGCGAGAAAUAUGAUGGUAACUUAUGAAUAAGGAUCGGCUAACUACGUGCCAGCAGCGGCGGUCAUACGUAGGAUGCGAGCGUAAUCCGGAUUUGUGGGGUUUUAAGGGUGGGUAGUCGGGCUGUUAAGUCAGCGUUAAAAGCCCGGGGCUCAACCCCGACGAGGAGUUGAAACUGGCUGUCUUGCGAUGUCGAGAGGUAGGCGGAAUGCGCAGUGUAGCGGUGAAAUGCUUAGAUAUUGCGCAGAACUCCGAUUGCGAAGGCAGCAUACCGGCGGCGAUCUGACGCUGAGGCACGAAAGCGUGGGUAUCGAACAGGAGUAGAUACCCGUGUAGUC
This 439-nucleotide ribosomal RNA is filed under the name uncultured bacterium. RNAcentral's name for it is "partial 16S ribosomal RNA". It matches the Rfam family "Bacterial small subunit ribosomal RNA", at positions 338 to 795 of the family's 1533-position model. The record is from RNAcentral.